RNAcentral lists this long non-coding RNA (413 nucleotides) under Solanum lycopersicum (tomato). Its description in RNAcentral is "long non-coding RNA (SLYC_LNC001222)". Lineage: Eukaryota; Viridiplantae; Streptophyta; Magnoliopsida; Solanales; Solanaceae. The record is from RNAcentral.
CCUGAUCCGUAUUCGGAAGCGGGUUCUUCAUACUCGCUUCUCCUUCCAUACUGGGGAGUGGGUUCUUCAUAUUCACUCUUUCUCCCAUACCCAGAUCCGUAUUCAGAACUUGGCUCUUGAUACUCACUCUUCCUCCCAUACCCAGAUCCAUAUUGGGGAGUGGGUUCUUCAUACUCACUCUUCCUCCCAUACCCAGAUCCAUACUCAGAACUAGGCUCUUCAUACUCACUCUUCCUUCCAUACCCAGAUCCAUACUGGGGUUUAGGCUCUUCGUACUCACUCUUUCUCCCAUACCCAGAUCCAUAUUCUGAUGUGGGCUCUUCUUCAUACUCACUCUUCCGUCCAUACCCAGAUCCAUAUUCACUUUCUCCGCCAGGGCGAUUCACCCCAGGCUGAAACCCAUAAUCAGCUUG